RNAcentral lists this ribosomal RNA (535 nucleotides) under Pediococcus acidilactici. RNAcentral's name for it is "bacterial SSU rRNA". It matches the Rfam family "Bacterial small subunit ribosomal RNA", at positions 60 to 565 of the family's 1533-position model. Lineage: Bacteria; Bacillati; Bacillota; Bacilli; Lactobacillales; Lactobacillaceae. The record is from RNAcentral.
CGUUAAUUGAUCAGGACGUGCUUGCACUGAAUGAGAUUUUAACACGAAGUGAGUGGCGGACGGGUGAGUAACACGUGGGUAACCUGCCCAGAAGCAGGGGAUAACACCUGGAAACAGAUGCUAAUACCGUAUAACAGAGAAAACCGCCUGGUUUUCUUUUAAAAGAUGGCUCUGCUAUCACUUCUGGAUGGACCCGCGGCGCAUUAGCUAGUUGGUGAGGUAACGGCUCACCAAGGCGAUGAUGCGUAGCCGACCUGAGAGGGUAAUCGGCCACAUUGGGACUGAGACACGGCCCAGACUCCUACGGGAGGCAGCAGUAGGGAAUCUUCCACAAUGGACGCAAGUCUGAUGGAGCAACGCCGCGUGAGUGAAGAAGGGUUUCGGCUCGUAAAGCUCUGUUGUUAAAGAAGAACGUGGGUGAGAGUAACUGUUCACCCAGUGACGGUAUUUAACCAGAAAGCCACGGCUAACUACGUGCCAGCAGCCGCGGUAAUACGUAGGUGGCAAGCGUUAUCCGGAUUUAUUGGGCGUAAAG